AUGAUGGUUAUUAUGUACACGUUAUAUGUAAACACCCAUACACUUUUUAUUAACUACUAAGCUGUCACAGAAUAUGUAUAGGAACAUGUAGUUAAUUGCUGGCAGACCAUUUGAAAACUUUAAAUUUACAUAAUUUACAGUGCCUUCAGAAAGUAUUCAUGCUUCUUGAUUUAUUCCACAUUUUGUUGUGUUACAGCCUGGUCUUAAUGAUGAAAUGCCCAUGCAUGUUAUGUAAAUGUGAACAUGAGUUAAUGCCGCCACUUCAGAUCACUCUGACGUUUUUUGUUGUACAGUACCCAAUGAUUUAUGACAACUUCCUUGAUAGGUCAAUGUCUUCAUUGUGGUUUCACUGUCUUGUUUAAAAUGUUUUAUGUACACACUUUAUUAUAAUUAUUAUGAAAUGCACAUUGUUAUAUUAUAGGGGUGUCAGGUAGCCUAGUGGUUAGAAUAUUGGGCCAGUAACCAAAAGGUUGCUAGAUUGAAUCCCUGAGCUGAGAAGGUAAAAAUCUGUUGUUUUGCCCCUGAACAAGGCAGUUAACCCAAUGUUCCUAGGCUGUCAUUGUAAGUAAGAAUUUGUUCUUAACUGACUUGCCUAGUUAAAGGAAGGUUAAAUAAAAAAUAUAAAUAUUUGUAACAUAUGCUUGUUUUCCUUAUACUCCAGGAUUUUGUGAGUGUUUUUAUUUUGCACACUUAUGUAGACAUUGCUCCAGCCACAUCCGUUCAACGUGUUUAAUGCUUGAGGCCUAUAUGUGAAGCUUAAUAGAGCACUGAUAUUAGCAAGAGCAGUGUGCAGGUUUCCUAUUUCUCUCAUCUUUUUAAGAAUAUAGAAAAUGGAUUGGUCAACUUUUGAUAGCCAAGUUUAAAUACUUGUGUUUUUUAAGCAGCAAAAUGCGGAUUUCUCCUGAAAAAUUGCAACGCUAAUGUGGAUUUUACUAUUUCAUGUAUUAUGUUUUAUAUUUGAAAAAACAUCCACUUUUGAUGAACUACGCCGAUUACUUUCACAGAAUAUGUGUGAAUUGCUGGUCGCUGGCAGACCAUUUGCAAAUUUGAAAUGCCCAUUCCUCUUUUAUGAAGUAACAUGAUUGGUGGGAUGAGGUAAUAGGCUGAUUUCUCAUGGGAAAAAAUGCAAUGCUAAUCUGGAUUUUACUGUGUAAUUUCACUAAAGUAUAUAAAUCCAUGUUCACAGCAGUUAUAGUGACUGUUGUGAAAUUAUUCACACCCUUGCAAAAGUUUUCACAUUUUGUUUCCUUAUUUUUAACAUUAUUCUUCACAAGCUACUUUUAUUCACAGAGAUGUCUUGAAUUAAUAAUUAUUCACACCUCUUGAUCUGGCGCACCUAAAUGAGUUGCAUAAAUUUGCUUAACAAGUUGCAGAUUAAGUUGAUAAGUGUCCACCGCUGCACAUUAAUAGUGGUUUAUGACCUGUCAAUAAAAUGUAUAUAUUUUUCUUUCUAUUCAGAAAACAACUGCAUCAACUAAGUCCAAAAUGAAGACACAGAAACUGACAGCUACAUUUUUUACCAUGGUGUUUUUAUGCUGGAAUAUCCAUGGAGUUCCGACCACAACUGCAGUUAACACAACUGAAGCUCCUACGACAACUGCAGCUCCUACGACAACUGCAGCUCCUACGACAACAACUGUAGCUCCUAUAACAAUAACUGCAGCUCCUACUACAACAACUGUAGCUCCUAUGACAAUAACUGUAGCUCCUACUACAACUGUAGCUCUUACAACCACUACAACUGCAGCACCUACUUCAACAACUACAACUGAAGCUCCUACGAUAACCACAACUGCAGCACCUGCUACGACAACUACAACUGAAGCUGCUACGACAACCACAACUUCAGCGCCUACAACGACAACUACAACGACAACUACAACACCUACUACGACAACUACAACACCAACUACGACAACCACAACACCUACUACGACAACCACAGCUGUAUCUCAUACGACAACAUCUGUAGCUCCUAUGACGACUACAACUGCAGCACCUACUUCAACAACCACUGCAGCUCUUACAACCACUACAUAUGCAGUUCCUACAACAACGACAACUGAAGCUCCUACGACAACCACAACCACAGCUCCAAAUACAAUAUCUGUAGCUCCUACGUCCACUACAACAGCAGCACCUACUACAACAACUACAAAUGCAGCUCCUACGACAACCACAACUGCAGCUCCUACUACAACUUUAGAUCCCACGACCAUUACAACAGAAGCACCCACUACGACCACUACAAACGCAGCUCUUACGACAACCGCAACUGAUACUCCUACUACAACUUUAGAUACUACGACCACUACAACAGCAGCACCUACAACGACAACUGUAGCUCCUACGACAACCACAACUGUAGCUCCAAGUACAACUGUAGCUCCUACCACCACAACUACACCACCUACUUCAACAACUACAACUGAAGCUCCUACGAUAACCACAACUGCAGCACCUGCUACGACAACUACAACUGAAGCUGC
This 2489-nucleotide long non-coding RNA is filed under the name Salmo salar (Atlantic salmon). Its description in RNAcentral is "lncRNA (ENSSSAG00000118618.1)". The record is from RNAcentral. Lineage: Eukaryota; Metazoa; Chordata; Actinopteri; Salmoniformes; Salmonidae.